RNAcentral lists this long non-coding RNA (2058 nucleotides) under Anolis carolinensis (green anole). RNAcentral's name for it is "lncRNA (ENSACAG00000032980.2)". Lineage: Eukaryota; Metazoa; Chordata; Lepidosauria; Squamata; Anolidae. The record is from RNAcentral.
UACUCUUUAUUUAUUGUGUGCCUCCUCUAUUUUCUUAUGGCUAACAGUACCAGUAUUUGUCGCAGAUCUCCUGGAUUGCAAUCCAUUUUCAUCUUCUGAAGGGAAUGUCACUCUCUAAAAGCCAAAUAUAACAUGCUAGCCUUGAAUAUAAAGUUAAAACUCUUCCUUGUUUUUGUAGAUCAGCAUAAGCACACAAAAAAAGUAUUGGAGAGCCAACAGAGCCAUUUCCUAUGCUCAAACAAAGGACUUAAGUCAAAGUACUCACCACCUACACCAUAGGUGAGACUACUCAAGAGAAAGAAGUGGGCUCGCAGUGCUCGGCUAGGGAAAAGGGCUUUUGUCUUUGUUGAUGACCUAAACAUGUCUGCCAAGGAGAAAGAUGGUGCCCGGCCUCCCAUUGAACCGCCGAGGCAAUGGAUUGACCAUGGCUACAGGUUUGACAGGAUGGAACAAUGUAUAACUUCUCUGCAGAGUCACUGUCUGGAGAAAAGAAGGAAUGGAAUAAAAGACAUUUUUUGCUAAAACCGAACAAAAGAUAAAAUUGAGCGUGCACACACACAAAAGAUCUUCCCAGCUGCUUUGCCUUUAUUCUCAGGCUGCAAAUUUAUAUCAAGAGAAGUCUAGUUAGGACAAAGAAUAAGCCCCGGGUAGCAACACUGAGCUAUACUAACAUUUGGAGCUGCUGGUGCUGGAUUUAGUGAGUUUUGUCCCAUCCUUAACAAGAAAUAUUACAGCAAAAGAAAAAAGAAAGAAAAUGCUGAGUAUGCAUGGUUCAAGAAAGUGUGAUACAAGGAUGUUUUGAUUCCAUUUUUGAUGUUGAAAAUUCCUCAUAGCUAAUAUCAAAGUUUGUCAAUUACCACACCCUGAUCCAGCUCCAGGCUUGUGAGUUUAGCAUUUUAUUUUGCUUCUCAGAAAUAGAGCCCCUGUGUAAGUUCUACACCUCCAAGAAAAUGUUCCCAUUCUUUCCCUCCAUUUCUCAAGACUGAAGUUGAGGAGUCAAAGUAACCUGUCUCUCAUUGCAUGCUAGAAUUUAUAGACAUUGAGCAAGGUCAAGGUACUGACAAUCACAACAUUUUGACUGACUACUGUGGCAAGUCCUAUUUGGUUGACUACUAUAGCAAACUCUAAAACAAUUGCUGUCUACUUUAGAGUUGUCAUGAAUCAGAAGUUAACACAAAUAGCAUGUUGCAUUGCCUUAAAAAACUGUUCAAAAAUACACAUCAGGAAAAAGGUGCAAAAUUAAUUUUGUUCAUAAGGGUCACUUUAAAAAUUCUGCUACAGACUAAUUAAAUGCUAGGUGCAGAUAUUUUUGGCUAAAAUAUUAAGCUGCAAUCAUUAGCACUGCAGAAAAUUUCCGUGUGCAAUUGUUCCAGGUGGAUAUGAAUUCCUCAUCAUUGUUCCUGUAGGAUUUGUUGUAAGUUGUUGACAGGGAUAUGAUUCUAUUGUAGAAUAUUUUCAAAGACAUCCUCAUGCAAUUCCUUCAGUUGAUUGCAGUGGCUCGCCUUUUAUUAGGAAUAUCUGAAAGAGAGAAGAGCUGGAAAAUUCACAGGAUGCUAUAUGACAAUAGCAUAUUUUUUUAAAAAAAACUUUCCAUUGUCAUUUUUAAAACUUUCCCCUAAUAUCUUAAGUACUUAGUGGCAGGGAAGUGUCAAACUGAAUAAUGCCACUGAUUUUUGUAUAGUCAACAUAAUAUUUGGUCUUUCUCUCUGUUUUGUGAAAUUUAAAGUUGGAAUAAACUAUAGUAAGUAUUUUGAAUACAUCCAGUGUUAUUUUGUGCAUUGGACUGCAUCUCUGAAAAAUAGGGUUCAAAUUCCCUCUUAGCCAUAAAAACUCACUGGGUGAUCUUGGGCAUGUCACAUAGCAUUAGCCUCAGAAAGCCUCAUGAUAGAUUUAUUUUAAGGUCAUCAUCAGUCGGAAGCAACUUGAAGGCACACAAAAACACAUAUCCUGAAAACAGUGGGUUGGGAUCUAGUUUCUGAUUUCAACAGACAGGAGGGAUUUAGUUAUACAAGGGGAUUUCCUUGAACGUUCUAGGACCCUUUUCCAUACAUUACAGCU